UAUUAAAUCAUUAGGUAGUAAUAUAAACCAAUAUGUAUUGGCGGUCUUUAUACUUUAGAGAAACUCGCUUUAUAAUCGUAAAUACCCGUUAAUUUUAACUUUAUUUAAUAAGCCUAUAUACCGCCGUUUAGAAUAUAAUACAUAACAUUAUUCAAAAUCUUAACCAAGAGAAAAUCAGGUCAAGGUGUAGCUAAUAACAAAGAAAAAGUAAGUUACAUUAAAAAUAAUUUAAGGACUCCAUAUAAAAACAAAUACAAAAAAGAAUUUAUUAGUACGGAGCAGUUAAAAUCUAACCCCGAAAUACUCAUUUAAAGAUGC
RNAcentral lists this ribosomal RNA (318 nucleotides) under Pholcus doucki. RNAcentral's name for it is "partial 12S ribosomal RNA". The record is from RNAcentral. Lineage: Eukaryota; Metazoa; Arthropoda; Arachnida; Araneae; Pholcidae.